Molecule: ribosomal RNA, 460 nt
Filed under: uncultured bacterium
Lineage: Bacteria
Description: bacterial SSU rRNA
Rfam family: Bacterial small subunit ribosomal RNA
Source: RNAcentral
UACGGGAGGCAGCAGUGGGGAAUAUUGCACAAUGGGCGAAAGCCUGAUGCAGCUAUGCCGCGUGUAUGAAGAAGGCCUUAGGGUUGUAAAGUACUUUCAUCGGGGAGGAAAAAACAAAACUAAUAAUUUUAUUUCUUGACGUUACCCGAAAAAGAAGCACCGGCUAACUCCGUGCCAGCAGCCGCGGUAAUACGGAGGGUGCUAGCGUUAAUCAGAAUUACUGGGCGUAAAGAGCACGUAGGUGGUUUUUUUAAGUCAGAUGUGAAAUCCCCUGGGCUUAACCUAGGAACUGCAUUUUGAAACUGAAAUACUAGAGUAUCGUAGAGGGAGGUAGAAUUCUAGGUGUAGCGGUGAAAUGCGUAGAUAUCUGGAGGAAUACCUGUGGCGAAAGCGGCCUCCUAAACGAAUACUGACACUGAGGUGCGAAAGCGUGGGGAGCAAACAGGGAUUAGAUACCCGU